CGACAGGGCACUGUUGUUGGGAAACAAAAGUGUCAUAACACAAUCAAUGCAAGAAAAUAAAAGAGAAAAAAAAAAGGAGCUCUCUGUAAAGAAGAAUUCGAUUUCAUUGAUUAAAUAGUUUUUAAGUACAAGAGAAUGAGGAAAUAUCGUCACGAAGGAAAAAUACAAAAUUAGAGAUUUCGGAUCUUCAAAGCAGAAGUGGAGGAGCUCGGUGCCCCC
Molecule: long non-coding RNA, 219 nt
Filed under: Elaeis guineensis (African oil palm)
Lineage: Eukaryota; Viridiplantae; Streptophyta; Magnoliopsida; Arecales; Arecaceae
Description: long non-coding RNA (EGUI_LNC078159)
Source: RNAcentral